GUGGCAAGCGUUAUCCGGAUUUAUUGGGCGUAAAGCGAGUGCAGGCGGUUCAAUAAGUCUGAUGUGAAAACAGUCGGGUCAACCGGAGAAAUGCAUCAGAAACUGUUGAACUUGAGUGCAGAAGAGGAGAGUGGAACUCCAUGUGUAGCGGUGGAAUGCGUAGAUAUAUGGAAGAACACCAGUGGCGAAGGCGGCUCUCUGGUCUGCAACUGACGCUGAGGCUCGAAAGCAUGGGUAGCGAAC
RNAcentral lists this ribosomal RNA (243 nucleotides) under uncultured bacterium. RNAcentral's name for it is "partial 16S ribosomal RNA". It matches the Rfam family "Bacterial small subunit ribosomal RNA", at positions 531 to 773 of the family's 1533-position model. The record is from RNAcentral.